This 253-nucleotide ribosomal RNA is filed under the name uncultured bacterium. RNAcentral describes it as "partial 16S ribosomal RNA". It matches the Rfam family "Bacterial small subunit ribosomal RNA", at positions 524 to 776 of the family's 1533-position model. The record is from RNAcentral.
UACGUAGGGUGCAAGAGUUGUACGGAUUUAUUGGGUUUAAAGGGUGCGUAGGCGGCCCGUUAAGUCAGUGGUGAAAUACAGCAGCUCAACUGUUGAUGUGCCAAUGAUACUGGCGGGCUAGAGUACAGACGAGGUAGGCGGAAUUGACAGUGUAGCGGUGAAAUGCAUAGAUAUUGUCAAGAACACCGAUAGCGCAGGCAGCUUGCUAGCCUGUAGCUGACGAUGAGGCUCGAAAGUGUGGUGAUCAAACAGG